This 253-nucleotide ribosomal RNA is filed under the name uncultured bacterium. RNAcentral describes it as "partial 16S ribosomal RNA". It matches the Rfam family "Bacterial small subunit ribosomal RNA", at positions 524 to 776 of the family's 1533-position model. The record is from RNAcentral.
UACGUAGGGUGCAAGCGUUAAUCGGAAUUACUGGGCGUAAAGCGUGCGCAGGCGGUUUCGUAAGUCUGUCGUGAAAUCCCCGGGCUUAACCUGGGAAUGGCGAUGGAGACUGCGAGGCUAGAGUUUGGCAGAGGGGGGUAGAAUUCCACGUGUAGCAGUGGAAUGCGUAGAGAUGUGGAGGAACACCGAUGGCGAAGGCAGCCCCCUGGGUCAAAACUGACGCUCAUGCACGAAAGCGUGGGGAGCAAACAGG